RNAcentral lists this non-coding RNA (25 nucleotides) under Mus musculus (house mouse). The record is from RNAcentral. Lineage: Eukaryota; Metazoa; Chordata; Mammalia; Rodentia; Muridae.
UGCCGAAACGAGUCUUGACAAGUGA